UCCCCAUAUCUCGGAUAUCUGAAUAGAUAGCUCUCUAAUUUUAUUGAGACUGUUUGAUGACAUUUCAUUCUUUACGUUUCCAGGAAACCGCUUGAGCCCUCGUAAAGGUGCUCCGUGCUUGGUCUGGCUGGAGGCGACUCCUGCUCCUGACAAUAAAUGUUAUCAUAAACAGAUCGAAACAUCGAUUCACUACAGGUUCCACUAAUGCCGAGGUAUUAAUCUCGGCGUCAUUGGAGGACAUAUCGACACUAAUUAAUAUCCGUUAAUAUCCGCGUGGGAACCGGCUCGGUCCAGUGGCGCUCGGGCUCGCUCAGCUUGAAUACUUUACACAGUCGAUGAAGCCUCCUGGCACGGGCGGGGAGUGGAUAUUGGUGACGAAGGUUGUAUAGAGCGACGUCGCACGGACGACGAUGAUUUAUAGAGGAGG
Long non-coding RNA from Danaus plexippus (monarch butterfly), 427 nucleotides. RefSeq lists it as uncharacterized. Lineage: Eukaryota; Metazoa; Arthropoda; Insecta; Lepidoptera; Nymphalidae. The transcript is spliced from 3 exons. The record is from RefSeq and is a predicted model, not a curated record.